UCUGUGAAGGACAGUGUAGGAGCUUAUUGCUUCUGAGGUGAGAUCUGUGAAGGACAGUGUUGGAGCUUAUCAACUCUGAGGUGAGAUCUAUGAAGGACAGUGUUGGAGCUUAUCAACUCUGAGGUGAGAUCUGUGAAGGACAGUGUUGGAGCUUAUCAACUCUGAGGUGAGAUCUGUGAAGGACAGUGUAGGAGCUUAUUGCCUCCGAGGUGAGAUCUGUGAAGGACAGGCAGUGCAGGGGCCUGGAGCUCAUCUGUGAAGGACAGUGUAGGAGCUUAUCAACUCUGAGGUGAGAUCUGUGAAGGACAGUGUAGGAGCUUAUUGCCUCCGAGGUGAGAUCUGUGAAGGACAGUGUAGGAGCUCAUCGCCUCUGAGAUGAGAUCUGUGAAGGACAGCGUAUGCGCUCAUCAUCUCCGAGGUGAGGUCUAUGAUCUUACCCAAUCAACUUGUGGAGCAGUACGGUUGGGGGUAAGACAGCUGUGACAUCACCUCCACAAACCGUGCAUCACGUUACAACCAGCCAAUCGGCAGCAGGCCAAAGGCAGCACAGGUUGCUGGUAGUACUGCCCCUACGCAGCGAUUAGCGAUGCUGCACCUGCCCUAUAUCAGUGCCAUUAUCCCUCGUUAGAUUUUCAGAUCCUAAAUGUCUCAAAGGCAGAGGCGGGGAGUUUGGAUUUGCUAUAAGCUCUGAUACAUCAAAACCUAUUGCAGUCUUAUGCCCUAUUCAAGCCGGAUUAGUUUCACAGAGGGAGGCUGUGUGAUUUCAGUGAUUACCCACAGGAUGCCUGAUUUUAAUUCAGUGUGAAUCUGCAGCGUCUACUUUUUUAGUCCUGAAUGUUAAAACACGGGAGCGAAUUGUCUUACACCUCCGAGGUCCUUCAGUGAUAUCGGUCCAGUUCCGGUCCUGCAGUGAUGUCAUUACGUAUGGAAAGUGUUUGCCUGUGUUGUUUUGGGGGACAGGGAAUCGGAUUUGAACUAGCCGCUUGCAAGCAAGUUCAGUCAAUUGAAUUGAUCCAUCCAUUAUGUAUUUUCUAAUAUUUCUUUUUGGUAAGUUUCAACAUGAGCCGUUUGAUCAGACCAGACAAAUAUAAUCUGAUCUAAUGAGUAAUGCUUUAGCUCAAAACUGCACCUUCAAAUCCUUGUGCUUUCACAUCCUGGUCAGUUCUGAGGAUCCCUUAAUGACUUCUGAAGUUUGAAUCAACUGCCAAUUUGAUUUUAUGUUGAACUGAUGUUACAGUAAUAUAUGUUAAGAUUUAUUUUAUUUAUUAGUAUUUAUUUUCGACGAAAGUACGGCAGGGUGCAAAGUCAGAGGACAGUGGUUUUAUGGUUCAGCCAGUGAUAAUAUUUUCCUAUCCCUGGAUUCAGUUGUUUCUGUAUGAACUGCUAAGGAAUAUU
Long non-coding RNA from Anguilla rostrata (American eel), 1395 nucleotides. RefSeq lists it as uncharacterized. The record is from RefSeq and is a predicted model, not a curated record. NCBI's taxonomy places the organism in Eukaryota, Metazoa, Chordata, Actinopteri, Anguilliformes, Anguillidae. The transcript has 2 exons.